Molecule: long non-coding RNA, 933 nt
Organism: Tarenaya hassleriana
Lineage: Eukaryota; Viridiplantae; Streptophyta; Magnoliopsida; Brassicales; Cleomaceae
Exons: 3
Source: RefSeq, a predicted model, not a curated record
GUUCUGUCCGUAGAAUUUGGUUCCAUAAAUUGGUUUAGCGUAGCAGUAUUGCUCAGGGUGUGGCGGCUGUCCAGGUACAUGUGUGCCAGAAUUUUCUGAUAAAAUAAUGUCAAAAGCAGAGUGGGAUGGUUCUAAAUUUAUCCCUGAGAAUGUUUCCUAUCAAGGUAAUUUUCAUGCGUAUAUUAUAUUAACUGUGGUUUUCACUAGGGUAUUAAGUGUGUUGACAUGCAAUACAUGAUUUGAAAAGGAAGCCUCUGUACAUAUCUAGCAGCAUGUGUUCAACACAAGUCUACGAGUAGCAUGUACAACAUGGUGCUAUGCAGGCCUUCAUGAACGUUAUUUCCCCAUUUUCAGAUUUUCUACGUCAUCCUAAUCAAUUCCAAAUGUAACAUUGGGGGUCCAUAUCUCUACUUUUACACUUUCAUAUGCAAAACCAUGGCAGAGGAGCACUAACCAAUGACAAAAUCCUUGAGUGAUUCAUUGCUAUUCUGUCUGAACUUCCGGUGCAUCCAGCCCAGUAACUGCAUCAGAGAGUUUUAGGAGUUAACAACAGCAUGGAAGAUCAUUAUUACUCAGUAUAAUGGAUUUUGGAAUAUAAGCAGCUCUUCCAAGUCUCUAGUAGCCAAAAGUAAGAUGGCUUGAGAGAAACACAGAGAUAAUUACAAGAUUGUGGUUAUCAAGAUCAACUCAUGUGAUUGCUUGCCAGUGGGUCCUCAUUUCUUGAUGUUAUAUACAUAGUGUCCGGAAAUGGAAUGACUUGAAUGCAUCAAAGGUACUACCAUUCCAUAAUAAGGAUUGUUUGCUUACAAUGUGAUGGCACUCUCAGGAAUAGUUGCAACUUGAAUCUGAUUUAAUCUUGGCUAGACUUCUGUUUUUUUCUAUGAAAACUAACUCGUUUGUUUUCUUACGGUUACCUUCUUUCCUUCUUCCUGA